This 254-nucleotide ribosomal RNA is filed under the name uncultured bacterium. RNAcentral describes it as "partial 16S ribosomal RNA". It matches the Rfam family "Bacterial small subunit ribosomal RNA", at positions 524 to 776 of the family's 1533-position model. The record is from RNAcentral.
UACGUAGGGUGCGAGCGUUGUCUGGAAUUAUUGGGCGUAAAGAGCUCGUAGGCGGUCUGUCGCGUCGGUCGUGAAAACUUGGGGCUUAACCCUGAGCUUGCGGUCGAUACGGGCAUGACUGGAGUUCGGUAGGGGAGACUGGAAUUCCUGGUGUAGCGGUGAAAUGCGCAGAUAUCAGGAGGAACACCGGUGGCGAAGGCGGGUCUCUGGGCCGAUACUGACGCUGAGGAGCGAAAGCGUGGGGAGCGAACAGG